Notothenia coriiceps (black rockcod) is the source of this 785-nucleotide long non-coding RNA. RefSeq lists it as uncharacterized. The record is from RefSeq and is a predicted model, not a curated record. The transcript has 4 exons. Lineage: Eukaryota; Metazoa; Chordata; Actinopteri; Perciformes; Nototheniidae.
CGCCUGGCGUUGUGGAAGAAAGUGCUGAUCGGGGGCUUCUGUUUGCUGGCGCUGUCUGUGUUGGUGGUGGUGGUUGUGCUGUGCUUCAAAUCCAAGAGAGGUAAAAGAGAAGCAGCUGCUGAAUUGUCAGUAAAGCCUUCACGCCCUAAAUCAGAUGACUCUUUAACAGUGAAUCUAACCCACGACACAGAGGUUUAUAACGCAGCCACAGACGCAGCGCCACUCUAUGAUGGCACGGAGGGGAGAGUGACCAAUUGGGCGCGAGAUAGCGUGGCGUCGCUUCCCGCUGACAUCAGCAACAGGAGCAGCUACAGUAUCCCAGCCACAGUCUAGAGAUGCCCCACACUGGGCUGGACAUUUGUAUUUACUUUCAAAGAAAUAGAAGUUCAAAGAAAGGACUUUGAGAGUAAAAAGGAAAAGAACACAAGAUACAGUAAUCCUGUUUGUGAUUUGGAAACUUUCUACACUAAGGUGUUUUCUCAGUAAAAAGGAUGUAAAUCAGAAACUGCUGCUCCCUCUCCCCUCCUCCUUCAAUCUAGGUGGCCUUUGGUUUUACAUUUAACGUUACUGUCUUUGUAUCUUCCCUCACCAUGUCCUCGUGAUGUCAUUUCCUUAAUUGUUGCAACUGCUCUGUUUGUCUAUUCUGCAUGUUUAAAUCUUUGUCACUGACUGAGUUGUAUACAUUUUAUCACCAUCGCAGGAAAUGUAUGUAUAUAUUUUUGGUUGAUCUGUUGACUGCAAGGUUGGAAGAGACGGUUGUAGAAUAAAGAUGGUGGUUUUAUUUA